AGUGAACGCUGGCGGUAGGCCUAACACAUGCAAGUCGAACGGCAGCACAGUAAGAGCUUGCUCUUACGGGUGGCGAGUGGCGGACGGGUGAGGAAUACAUCGGAAUCUACUUUUUCGUGGGGGAUAACGUAGGGAAACUUACGCUAAUACCGCAUACGACCUACGGGUGAAAGCAGGGGAUCUUCGGACCUUGCGCGAUUGAAUGAGCCGAUGUCGGAUUAGCUAGUUGGCGGGGUAAAGGCCCACCAAGGCGACGAUCCGUAGCUGGUCUGAGAGGAUGAUCAGCCACACUGGAACUGAGACACGGUCCAGACUCCUACGGGAGGCAGCAGUGGGGAAUAUUGGACACUGGGCGCAAGCCUGCUCCAGCCAUACCGCGUGGGUGAAGAAGGCCUUCGGGUUGUAAAGCCCUUUUGUUGGGAAAGAAAAGCAGCAGGUUAAUACCCCGCUGUUCUGACGGUACCCAAAGAAUAAGCACCGGCUAACUUCGUG
Molecule: ribosomal RNA, 492 nt
Filed under: uncultured bacterium
Lineage: Bacteria
Description: partial 16S ribosomal RNA
Rfam family: Bacterial small subunit ribosomal RNA
Source: RNAcentral